RNAcentral lists this ribosomal RNA (253 nucleotides) under uncultured bacterium. RNAcentral describes it as "partial 16S ribosomal RNA". It matches the Rfam family "Bacterial small subunit ribosomal RNA", at positions 524 to 776 of the family's 1533-position model. The record is from RNAcentral.
UACGUAGGGGGCAAGCGUUGUCCGGAAUCAUUGGGCGUAAAGGGCGCGUAGGCGGCUUCUUAAGCGGGCUGUGAAAGCCCGGGGCUCAACCCCGGGUCGGCCGUGCGAACUGGGAAGCUCGAGCCCACUAGAGGCAGGCGGAAUUCCGGGUGUAGCGGUGGAAUGCGUAGAGAUCCGGAAGAACACCGGUGGCGAAGGCGGCCUGCUGGGGUGGAGCUGACGCUGAGGCGCGACAGCGUGGGGAGCAAACAGG